AGAACGAACGCUGGCGGCGUGGAUAAGACAUGCAAGUCGGACGCGAUUUAUCCGGUUAGCAAUAACUGGGUAGAUUGAGUGGCGAAAGGGUGCGUAACACGUGGGAAUUUACCAAGAAGUGGGGGAAUAGCUCGACGAAAGUCGAAUUAAUACCGCAUGUGAUCGUAAGAUCAAAGCCGGGGACCGCAAGGCCUGGCGCUUUUUGAGAAGCCCGCGGCCCAUCAGCUAGUUGGUGAGGUAAUGGCUCACCAAGGCUAUGACGGGUAGCUGGUCUGAGAGGACGACCAGCCACACUGGAACUGAGACACGGUCCAGACACCUACGGGUGGCAGCAGUCGAGAUUUUUCACA
This 350-nucleotide ribosomal RNA is filed under the name uncultured bacterium. Its description in RNAcentral is "SSU rRNA". It matches the Rfam family "Bacterial small subunit ribosomal RNA", at positions 26 to 370 of the family's 1533-position model. The record is from RNAcentral.